Molecule: ribosomal RNA, 1305 nt
Filed under: metagenome
Description: bacterial LSU rRNA
Rfam family: Bacterial large subunit ribosomal RNA
Source: RNAcentral
ACCGUACUCCAAACCGACACAGGUGAUCAGGUAGAGAAUACCAAGGCGCUUGAGAGAACUCGGGUGAAGGAACUAGGCAAAAUGGCACCGUAACUUCGGGAGAAGGUGCACCGCUUUUGGUGAUGGGAUUUACUCCCUAAGCUGAGGGCGGUCGAAGAUACCAGGCCCCUGCAACUGUUUAUUAAAAACACAGCACUCUGCAAACACGUAAGUGGACGUAUAGGGUGUGACGCCUGCCCGGUGCCGGAAGGUUAAUUGAUGGGGUUAGCGCAAGCGAAGCUCUUGAUCGAAGCCCCGGUAAACGGCGGCCGUAACAAUAACGGUCCUAAGGUAGCGAAAUUCCUUGUCGGGUAAGUUCCGACCUGCACGAAUGGCGUAAUGAUGGGGGCGCUGUCUCCACCCGAGACUCAGUGAAAUUGAAAUCGCGGUUAAGAUGCCGUGUUCCCGCGGCUAGACGGAAAGACCCCGUGAACCUUUACUAUAGCUUUGCACUGAACUUUGAACCUAUCUGUGUAGGAUAGGUGGGAGGCUUUGAAGUUGGGACGCUAGUCCUAAUGGAGCCGUCCUUGAAAUACCACCCUGGUAUGUUUGAGGUUCUAACGUAGACCCCUAAUCGGGGUUGCGGACAGUGUAUGGUGGGUAGUUUGACUGGGGCGGUCUCCUCCCAAAGAGUAACGGAGGAGCACGAAGGUGUGCUAAUCAUGGUCGGAAAUCAUGAGGUUAGUGUAAAGGCAAAAGCACGCUUGACUGCGAGACAGACAUGUCGAGCAGGUACGAAAGUAGGUCUUAGUGAUCCGGUGGUUCUGUAUGGAAGGGCCAUCGCUCAACGGAUAAAAGGUACUCCGGGGAUAACAGGCUGAUACCGCCCAAGAGUUCACAUCGACGGCGGUGUUUGGCACCUCGAUGUCGGCUCAUCACAUCCUGGGGCUGAAGCCGGUCCCAAGGGUAUGGCUGUUCGCCAUUUAAAGUGGUACGCGAGCUGGGUUUAGAACGUCGUGAGACAGUUCGGUCCCUAUCUGCCGUGGGCGUUGGAGAUUUGAGAAGAGUUGUUCCUAGUACGAGAGGACCGGAAUGAACGAACCUCUGGUGUUCGGGUUGUCAUGCCAAUGGCACUGCCCGGUAGCUAUGUUCGGACGGGAUAACCGCUGAAAGCAUCUAAGCGGGAAGCCUCCUUCAAGAUGAGAUCUCCCUGGGACUUUAAGUCCCCUAAAGAGCCGUUGAAGACUACGACGUUGAUAGGUUGGGUGUGGAAGCGCAGCGAUGCGUUGAGCUAACCAAUACUAAUUGCUCGUGCGGCUUGACCAA